RNAcentral lists this long non-coding RNA (926 nucleotides) under Anser cygnoides (Swan goose). Its description in RNAcentral is "lncRNA (ENSACDG00005006804.1)". The record is from RNAcentral. Lineage: Eukaryota; Metazoa; Chordata; Aves; Anseriformes; Anatidae.
UUUGAGGUCAAUGGGGCAACCAAAGGUCUACUGGUGGCUACUAAAGGAUUCUGGGGUCAAUGGUGGCCACCAAGGGUCUACAGAAAGGGUUUUGGGGUCAGUGGUGGCCACCAAAGGGUUUUGGGGUCAACUGGUGGAAACUGAAGGGGUUUGGGGUCUACUGGUGGCAGCUGGGGGGUCAACCAGUGGCAACUGGGGUCUACUGGGAUGAGGUUACGGGGUCAGGGGGUCCCUUGGUGGUCCUGGGGUGGAUUUUGGGUCACUUUAGCUCUAAUUUGGGGCAAUUUGGGUCCAGUUAUGAAGGUUCUAGGUCCUUCAAGGUGGGUUUUGAAGCCCGGGGAGAUAUUUGGGGUUAUGGGGUCGGGUUUUGGGGUCCCCUACAAGAUAGUUAUGGGGUCGGGGGGGUCCCUCGGUUGUCCCGGGGUAGAUUUUGGGUCACUUUAGUUCUAAUUUGGGGCAAUUUGGGGCAAUUUGGAUCCAUUUAUGAAGGUUCUAGGUCCUUCAAGGUAGCUUCUGAAGCCCGGGGAGCUAUUUGGGGUUACGGGGUGGGGUUUUGGGGUCCCUUGUGACGUAAUUAUGGGAUCGGGGGGGUCCCUUGGUGAUCCUGGGGUGGAUUUUGGGUCACUUUAGCACCAAUUUGGGUCACUUUAGUUCCAAUUUGGGUCCAGUUAUGAAGGUUCUAGGUCCUUCAAGGUGCGUUUCGAAGCCUGGGGAGAUAUUUGGGGUUACGGGAUCGGGAUUUGGGGUCCCUUGAGACGUAAUUAUGGGAUUGGGGGGGGUCAUCUGGUGUUCCUAGGGUGGAUUUUGGGUCACUUUAGCUCUAAUUUGGGGCAAUUUGGGUCCAGUUAUGAAGGUUCUAGGUCCUUCAAGGUAGCUUCUGAAGCCCGGGGAGCUAUUUGGGGUUACGGGGUCAGGUUUUGGGGUCC